Molecule: non-coding RNA, 432 nt
Organism: Paramuricea clavata
Lineage: Eukaryota; Metazoa; Cnidaria; Anthozoa; Malacalcyonacea; Plexauridae
Source: the annotation of a GenBank genome assembly
GCCUUCUUUUUCCUUGAAAUUUUUUAUCCGCGAUCAAGUAUUGUUCAAAAUUGUCCAAAACUUUAUAAGCCGCAGACUUGGGCGCACGAGGCACGUGUCAGGAACAUCUAAUUAAAUUACAGCAAUGUUUAUCACGUGACAAACUGAGGGUGGCUUGGACGGUAUUUUAGGAGAGAGAAACGAUGAAGCUGGAAAUAAAUUUAUCAGUGAAAAAUAUCGCGAACAUUCGAAUUGUAGUUAUCGAAGUGCGAUGUUGUGUUGAUAUAAAUAGCCGAGCUACUAGGAGGGCAAGCAUGCAGGCGCCCAGUAAAGCAGUUAUUUAAUUAUUCCAUUUAAGACACUCCGGGAGAGAGGCGACGAGAUGGCGCCGGGUUACAACCUUUCACACUAAGCAUUAGAAAUAACGCAUUCACAACGCAGGGCAAAGGCCAC